This 253-nucleotide ribosomal RNA is filed under the name uncultured bacterium. RNAcentral describes it as "partial 16S ribosomal RNA". It matches the Rfam family "Bacterial small subunit ribosomal RNA", at positions 524 to 776 of the family's 1533-position model. The record is from RNAcentral.
UACGGAGGGUGCAAGCGUUAUCCGGAAUCACUGGGUUUAAAGGGUGCGCAGGCGGCCGCAUAAGUCAGAAGUGAAAGCUCGGCGCUCAACGUCGGAACUGCUUUUGAUACUGUGCGGCUUGAAUCAGGAUGAGGUAGGCGGAAUGUGACAUGUAGCGGUGAAAUGCAUAGAUAUGUCAUAGAACACCGAUUGCGAAGGCAGCCUACUGGCCCUGUAUUGACGCUGAGGCACUAAAGCGUGGGGAGCGAACAGG